This 469-nucleotide ribosomal RNA is filed under the name Corynebacterium sp. 'ARUP UnID 242'. Its description in RNAcentral is "bacterial SSU rRNA". It matches the Rfam family "Bacterial small subunit ribosomal RNA", at positions 27 to 506 of the family's 1533-position model. Lineage: Bacteria; Bacillati; Actinomycetota; Actinomycetes; Mycobacteriales; Corynebacteriaceae. The record is from RNAcentral.
GGAUGAACGCUGGCGGCGUGCUUAACACAUGCAAGUCGAACGGAAAGGCCUCUGCUUGCAGGGGUACUCGAGUGGCGAACGGGUGAGUAACACGUGGGUGAUCUGCCUUGUACUUCGGGAUAAGCCUGGGAAACUGGGUCUAAUACCGGAUAGGACCAAUCUUUAGUGUGGUUGGUGGAAAGUUUUUUCGGUACGAGAUGAGCCCGCGGCCUAUCAGCUUGUUGGUGGGGUAAUGGCCUACCAAGGCGACGACGGGUAGCCGGCCUGAGAGGGUGUACGGCCACAUUGGGACUGAGACACGGCCCAGACUCCUACGGGAGGCAGCAGUGGGGAAUAUUGCACAAUGGGCGGAAGCCUGAUGCAGCGACGCCGCGUGAGGGAUGACGGCCUUCGGGUUGUAAACCUCUUUCGCUAGGGAAGAAGCCUUUGUGGUGACGGUACCUGGAUAAGAAGCACCGGCUAACUACGU